UUGAAAUGGGCUAUUCCAUUUAAUAUCCGUACCCCCCCUGUCGAGGAUCCCUGGAAUUCUUCAGGGGUAAAGGGUUUUGAGCUUGGAAUUCUUCAGGGGUAAAGUGUUUUGAGCUUGGAAUUCUUCAGGGGUAAAGUGUUUUGAGUUUGGAAUUCUUCAGGGGUAAAUGGUUUUGAGCUUGGAAUUCUUCAGGGGUGAAGGGUUUUAAGCUUGGAAUUCUUCAGGGGUAAAGAGGUUUGAGAUUGAAAUUUUUCAGAGCUUGGAAUUCUUCAGGGGUGAAGGGUUUUGAGCUUGGAAUUCUUCAGGGGUAAAAGGUUUUGAGCUUGAAAUUCUUCAGGGGUAAAGGGCUUUGAGCCUGGAAUUCUUUAGGGGUGAAGGGUUUUGAGCUUGGAAUUCUUCAGGGGUAAAAGGUUUUGAGCUUGGAAUUCCUCAGGGGUAAAGGGUUUUGAGCUUGGAAUUUUGGAAUUCUUCAGGGGUAAAAGGUUUUGAGCUUGGAAUUCUUCAGGGGUAAAGAGUUUUGAGCUUGGAAUUUUGGAAUUCUUCAGGGGUAAACAGUUUUGAGCUUGGAAUUCUUCAGGGGUAUGACAAUGAAAAACAUGUAUCCUCGACAGGGGGGUACGGAUAUUAAAUGGAAUAGCCCAAUGUAUAUGAUAUUGUGUUGUAG
Paramuricea clavata is the source of this 664-nucleotide non-coding RNA. NCBI's taxonomy places the organism in Eukaryota, Metazoa, Cnidaria, Anthozoa, Malacalcyonacea, Plexauridae. The record is from the annotation of a GenBank genome assembly.